AUGGCGACCGGCGCACGGGUGCGUAACGCGUAUGCAACCUACCUUGUACAGGGGAAUAGCUCUCGGAAACGGGAAUUAAUACCCCAUAAUACUUUUAGAUACAUGUUUAGAAGUUAAAAACUCCGGUGGUACAAGAUGGGCAUGCGUGACAUUAGCUAGUUGGUAAGGUAACGGCUUACCAAGGCUUUGAUGUCUAGGGGUUCUGAGAGGAUUAUCCCCCACACUGGUACUGAGACACGGACCAGACUCC
Molecule: ribosomal RNA, 250 nt
Filed under: uncultured bacterium
Lineage: Bacteria
Description: partial 16S ribosomal RNA
Rfam family: Bacterial small subunit ribosomal RNA
Source: RNAcentral